RNAcentral lists this ribosomal RNA (164 nucleotides) under Chresta sphaerocephala. RNAcentral describes it as "5.8S ribosomal RNA". It matches the Rfam family "5.8S ribosomal RNA". Rfam says of the family: 5.8S ribosomal RNA (5.8S rRNA) is a component of the large subunit of the eukaryotic ribosome. It is transcribed by RNA polymerase I as part of the 45S precursor that also contains 18S and 28S rRNA. The record is from RNAcentral. Lineage: Eukaryota; Viridiplantae; Streptophyta; Magnoliopsida; Asterales; Asteraceae.
AAGACGACUCUCGACAGCGGAUAUCUCGGCUCACGCAUCGAUGAAGAACGUAGCAAAAUGCGAUACUUGGUGUGAAUUGCAGAAUCCCGUGAACCAUCGAGUUUUUGAACGCAAGUUGCGCCCGAAGCCAAUUGGUUUAGGGCACGUCUGCCUGGGCGUCACUU